RNAcentral lists this ribosomal RNA (288 nucleotides) under halophilic archaeon. RNAcentral's name for it is "partial 16S ribosomal RNA". It matches the Rfam family "Archaeal small subunit ribosomal RNA", at positions 101 to 387 of the family's 1478-position model. The record is from RNAcentral. Lineage: Archaea; Methanobacteriati; Methanobacteriota; Halobacteria; Halobacteriales.
UGGCCAAACUACCCUACAGACCGCGAUAACCUCGGGAAACUGAGGCCAAUAGCGGGAUACAACUCUCAUGCUGGAGUGCCGAGAGUUGGAAACGUUCCGGCGCUGUAGGAUGUGGCUGCGGCCGAUUAGGUAGAUGGUGGGGUAACGGCCCACCAUGCCGAUAAUCGGUACAGGUUGUGAGAGCAAGAGCCUGGAGACGGUAUCUGAGACAAGAUACCGGGCCCUACGGGGCGCAGCAGGCGCGAAACCUUUACACUGCACGACAGUGCGAUAGGGGGACUCCGAGUG